UUUAAUAAUUGAUUUUAAUAUUGAUUUUGCCCGGCGCCAUCUAUUAAUCACUUACCUUACUAGCUCAGUUAUAAAGUGAAUUCUGCAUGAGAUCUCCUAUCUGUGGAGGUGUGAGAAAAGAUUUCUGAAAUAUCAACUAAACAAACGACACAAAAAUACAGCUAUAUGAAUGUAUAUGAAAUGGUUGAUAAAUAACAAAAGACUGUCGAAUAUUGUACACGAAUUUGGAAAUAUAUUGAAAAUAAAGGCUUUGUUAUGCAACAUCAAAAAUACAAGGUUAUCUAGUCGAAAGUCUGAAGGAAGAAAUACGAUGCAAUGAAUUUAACUAUAUAAAAAAAUAAAAGUAUUUGACAAAAAUUAAGUCGAAGAUAACCCAAAAUUAUCUUGAAUAUUCAAAAUUUGUUAUACUAAAGCUAGAAAAUGAAAAAACAUUGACUUUCGAUCAUGAUCAAUUAAAAAUAUAAACUGUUCAGUACAACCUUUCACGAUGUAAUAUGAAGAUACACCAAACUGCUAUGAAGUCUCUUCGGAUCCAAGAAGAAACCAACUGCUUCUCUUUCACUGGAACAAUGUUCUAAACAUGGUAGAUACCCGCAUCGGAAUACUUUUUCACUUUUCUUAUAAAGUUGAGGGUCAUUUUUGAAAAUUUUUUCUUCACCAUGAAGAUUAUUUAUACAGAUUAAUGUCUAUUUCAACAUAAUUUCACAAAUCUACCCAUGCAGCUAAAUGAUGCAAGACGUAUCACCUUAACGAAGUUCCUUUCGAAGUGACUUUUGGAAACAUGGAACCUUUUGAUGAUUCUUACGAACAAAUAAGGCUAUUGUAUGAUACAAAUAGAAGUAAUUCUCUGGUAAAACUCAAAAUUCAAAUUAUUAUAUAUUCUAUUUACUAAUUUCUAAUUUAUAUGUCAUUGAAAUAUCAUCUUUGAUAUAGGAUUACCUAUUUUGAUUUCUUAUGUAAUUCUACCUUUAUACACUUAAAUAAAACCAUCUUAUAACUAUUUAAUUAUUACUAAGUGCUCUCCUAACUUUAGUUCUUUUUAUAAUUCUCAUUCUUCUCAACCUUCCAAUCAACGAUACCCCUCAAAAGUGGCAAUAAUAAAAAAUUAUCCAUAUACUUUGGGCUUUAUUAAAAUUACUAAAUUAUCUAUUAUUUUUAACUAUUCUAUGGUUUGAGUAUCUUAAAAAAUCAUAAUAACUAUUUAAAAUCACGACAAUACAUACAUACAAACAUUCAUUUUUAUUUAUAUAGAUGUAAAAUAUUUAAAUGGCUAUUAAAAAAUAACGGUUAAAGAUAAAAAAGUGAAAAUUUAGGAUUGUAUGUAUAUUUUGGUUCUACAUCGUAUAAAAUUAAGAAAAAAGAGUUUGUUCAAAAAAAUUUUAAAAAAUUUCGGGGGGGCAAGCCCCCUUCUCACUUAGGUAGAUCGUACCACUUCAGAAACCAUCCCGGGUUGAUGCACAACAACUUUGAUUAAGGUCAUUUUACGAUCAAAUGCAUAGUUUGUGAGUCUAUAGGGAACAUACAUACAUACAAACAUUCAUUUUUAUUUAUAUAGAUGUAAAAUAUUUAAAUGGCUAUUAAAAAAUAACGGUUAAAGAUAAAAAAGUGAAAAUUUAGGAUUGUAUGUAUAUUUUGGUUCUACAUCGUAUAAAAUUAAGAAAAAAGAGUUUGUUCAAAAAAAUUUUAAAAAAUUUCGGGGGGGCAAGCCCCCUUCUCACUUAGGUAGAUCGUACCACUUCAGAAACCAUCCCGGGUUGAUGCACAACAACUUUGAUUAAGGUCAUUUUACGAUCAAAUGCAUAGUUUGUGAGUCUAUAGGGAACAUACAUACAUACAAACAUUCAUUUUUAUUUAUAUAGAUGUAAAAUAUUUAAAUGGCUAUUAAAAAAUAACGGUUAAAGAUAAAAAAGUGAAAAUUUAGGAUUGUAUGUAUAUUUUGGUUCUACAUCGUAUAAAAUUAAGAAAAAAGAGUUUGUUCAAAAAAAUUUUAAAAAAUUUCGGGGGGGCAAGCCCCCUUCUCACUUAGGUAGAUCGUACCACUUCAGAAACCAUCCCGGGUUGAUGCACAACAACUUUGAUUAAGGUCAUUUUACGAUCAAAUGCAUAGUUUGUGAGUCUAUAGGGAACAUACUAUUAUAUAUUUCGUGGGGCCAAUUAUUAUAGAAGUUAUUUUAUUUUAUUUAUUUUUAUUAUUAAUUAUUUUAUUUAAUUUUAUUUAAUUAUUUUAUUUUUAUUAUAGAAUUAUUUUUAUUUAUUGAUUUUAAUUUAAUUAUAGAAUUUUUUAAAUAUAUACUGAUUUAAUAAUUUUUGAUUUUAAUAUUGAUUUUGCCCGGCGCCAUCUAUUAAUCACUUACCUUACUAGCUCAGUUAUAAAGUGAAUUCUGCAUGAGAUCUCCUAUCUGUGGAGGUGUGAGAAAAGAUUUCUGAAAUAUCAACUAAACAAACGACACAAAAAUACAGCUAUAUGAAAUGGUUGAUAAAUAACAAAAGACUGUCGAAUAUUGUACACGAAUUUGGAAAUAUAUUGAAAAUAAAGGCUUUGUUAUGCAACAUCAAAAAUACAAGGUUAUCUAGUCGAAAGUCUGAAGGAAGAAAUACGAUGCAAUGAAUUUAACUAUAUAAAAAAAUAAAAGUAUUUGACAAAAAUUAAGUCGAAGAUAACCCAAAAUUAUCUUGAAUAUUCAAAAUUUGUUAUACUAAAGCUAGAAAAUGAAAAAACAUUGACUUUCGAUCAUGAUCAAUUAAAAAUAUAAACUGUUCAGUACAACCUUUCACGAUGUAAUAUGAAGAUACACCAAACUGCUAUGAAGUCUCUUCGGAUCCAAGAAGAAACCAACUGCUUCUCUUUCACUGGAACAAUGUUCUAAACAUGGUAGAUACCCGCAUCGGAAUACUUUUUCACUUUUCUUAUAAAGUUGAGGGUCAUUUUUGAAAAUUUUUUCUUCACCAUGAAGAUUAUUUAUACAGAUUAAUGUCUAUUUCAACAUAAUUUCACAAAUCUACCCAUGCAGCUAAAUGAUGCAAGACGUAUCACCUUAACGAAGUUCCUUUCGAAGUGACUUUUGGAAACAUGGAACCUUUUGAUGAUUCUUACGAACAAAUAAGGCUAUUGUAUGAUACAAAUAGAAGUAAUUCUCUGGUGUGAAAAUUCGUCUUUUGAAAGUAUAAGGAUAUCGUCUAUAUAAUGAAGAAUAAAAUCAUCAUAUUUAUCUAAAAUAUUAUGAA
RNAcentral lists this unclassified non-coding RNA (3225 nucleotides) under Diabrotica virgifera virgifera (western corn rootworm). RNAcentral describes it as "uncharacterized LOC126889719". Lineage: Eukaryota; Metazoa; Arthropoda; Insecta; Coleoptera; Chrysomelidae. The record is from RNAcentral.